UACAGAGGAUGCAAGCGUUAUCCGGAAUGAUUGGGCGUAAAGCGUCUGUAGGUGGCUUUUUAAGUCCGCCGUCAAAUCCCAGGGCUCAACCCUGGACAGGCGGUGGAAACUAUCAAGCUGGAGUGCGGGAGAGGGGCGUGGAAUUCCGGGUGUAGUGGUGAAAUGCGUAGAGAUCCGGAGGAACCCCAGAGGCGAAGGCGGCGCCCUGGCCCGACACUGACGCUCAGACACGACAGCAUGGGGAGCGAACGGG
This 253-nucleotide ribosomal RNA is filed under the name uncultured bacterium. Its description in RNAcentral is "partial 16S ribosomal RNA". It matches the Rfam family "Bacterial small subunit ribosomal RNA", at positions 524 to 776 of the family's 1533-position model. The record is from RNAcentral.